UCUCGCGGCAAAGGUUUUGUCGGGCGAAAGGGCGGUCGACGAUAUCGAGGGUGGAAUGAGGUGAGAGGGGGCCAUUCUCACGCGGGUGUGAAGGGGUGAGAGGAUUCGAAGUUUACGAUUGAAUCCAGACGAUGUUCGACGACAAAUUGUGUCAUUAUUUUUGUUGGUGUGAGCGAAUCCAGAACGCGACGCUUGUUUUGGUUAUGUUCGUUCGGCGGAAAAAGGGGGAGAGGCGGAAUGGGUUUUCAGGUGUUAAGUGGAAUGAAACGAUUUUUUCACUAAAUGGCUUAUGAUUUUUUUAUAAUGAGUUAUUGAGGACAUGUUUGCAGCUCUGGUUUUAAAUAUUGAUAUUGACCCGUUAGUGAACAUUUUGAAUGGUGAGUGUUGAAAAAAGGCUGAUGAAAUGAUUGAUAAAAUUGCGACGUUCGAAAUCUUUGAGCAUUUUGGUGAAGUUAUUUGUCGAACAACCAAUUUCCCAAUGGCAAAAAAAUUGUAUUUCAAGGGGUUAUUUGUAAACGACCGGAAUUUUUUAAAGUCUAUUAUACGUUGAGGUCAGUGAGUAUU
This is a long non-coding RNA of Diachasmimorpha longicaudata, 564 nucleotides long. RefSeq lists it as uncharacterized. NCBI's taxonomy places the organism in Eukaryota, Metazoa, Arthropoda, Insecta, Hymenoptera, Braconidae. The transcript is spliced from 3 exons. The record is from RefSeq and is a predicted model, not a curated record.